Molecule: ribosomal RNA, 761 nt
Filed under: uncultured archaeon
Lineage: Archaea
Description: bacterial SSU rRNA
Rfam family: Archaeal small subunit ribosomal RNA
Source: RNAcentral
GGAUAACUUACCCUUUAGGACUGGGAUAACUCUGGGAAACUGGGGAUAAUACUGGAUAUUAGGCUAUGCCUGGAAUGGUUUGCCUUUGAAAUGUUUUUUUUUCGCCUAAGGAUAGGUCUGCGGCUGAUUAGGUCGUUGGUGGGGUAAUGGCCCACCAAGCCGAUGAUCGGUACGGGUUGUGAGAGCAAGGGCCCGGAGAUGGAACCUGAGACAAGGUUCCAGACCCUACGGGGUGCAGCAGGCGCGAAACCUCCGCAAUGUACGAAAGUGCGACGGGGGGAUCCCAAGUGUUAUGCUUUUUUGUAUGACUUUUCAUUAGUGUAAAAAGCUUUUAGAAUAAGAGCUGGGCAAGACCGGUGCCAGCCGCCGCGGUAACACCGGCAGCUCGAGUGGUAGCUGUUUUUAUUGGGCCUAAAGCGUUCGUAGCCGGUUUGAUAAGUCUUUGGUGAAAGCUUGUAGCUUAACUAUAAGAAUUGCUGGAGAUACUAUUAGACUUGAAGUCGGGAGAGGUUAGAGGUACUACCGGGGUAGGGGUGAAAUCCUAUAAUCCUGGGAGGACCACCUGUGGCGAAGGCGUCUAACUGGAACGAUCUUGACGGUGAGUAACGAAAGCCAGGGGCGCGAACCGGAUUAGAUACCCGGGUAGUCCUGGCCGUAAACGAUGUGGACUUGGUGUUGGAAUGGCUUUGAGUUGUUCCGGUGCCGAAGGGAAGCUGUUAAGUCCACCGCCUGGGAAGUACGGUCGCAAGACUGAAACUUAA